GACGAACGCUGGCGGCGUGCUUAACACAUGCAAGUCGAACGGAGCUGUUUAUUUCGGUAGAUAGCUUAGUGGCAAACGGGUGAGUAACGCGUAGGCAACCUGCCCUUAGGAUGGGGACAACGGCCCGAAAGGACCGCUAAUACCGAAUGGACUCUAACUUUCGCAUGAAAGAAAGAGGAAAGAUGGUGCAAGCCAUCGCCGAAGGAAGGGCCUGCGUCUGAUUAGCCAGUUGGUGAGGUAACGGCUCACCAAAGCGACGAUCAGUAGCCGGUCUGAGAGGAUGAACGGCCACAAUGGGACUGAGACACGGCCCAUACUCCUACGGGAGGCAGCAGUGGGGAAUCUUCCGCAAUGGGCGAAAGCCUGACGGAGCAACGCCGCGUGAGUGAAGAAGGUCUUCGGAUCGUAAAGCUCUGUUGUUGGGGACGAAAGGGAAGGGGAGGAAAUGCCCUUUUUAAGACGGUACCCGACGAGCAAGCCACGGCU
Molecule: ribosomal RNA, 486 nt
Filed under: Veillonellaceae bacterium oral taxon 132
Lineage: Bacteria; Bacillati; Bacillota; Negativicutes; Veillonellales; Veillonellaceae
Description: bacterial SSU rRNA
Rfam family: Bacterial small subunit ribosomal RNA
Source: RNAcentral